UUUAACUGAAGAGUUUGAUCAUGGCUCAGAUUGAACGCUGGCGGCAGGCUUAACACAUGCAAGUCGAGCGGAUGAAGGUAGCUUGCUACUGGAUUCAGCGGCGGACGGGUGAGUAAUGCUUAGGAAUCUGCCUAUUAGUGGGGGACAACGUUCCGAAAGGGGCGCUAAUACCGCAUACGUCCUACGGGAGAAAGCAGGGGACCUUCGGGCCUUGCGCUAAUAGAUGAGCCUAAGUCGGAUUAGCUAGUUGGUAGGGUAAAGGCCUACCAAGGCGACGAUCUGUAGCGGGUCUGAGAGGAUGAUCCGCCACACUGGGACUGAGACACGGCCCAGACUCCUACGGGAGGCAGCAGUGGGGAAUAUUGGACAAUGGGGGGAACCCUGAUCCAGCCAUGCCGCGUGUGUGAAGAAGGCCUUUUGGUUGUAAAGCACUUUAAGCGAGGAGGAGGCUACCUAGAUUAAUACUUUAGGAUAGUGGACGUUACUCGCAGAAUAAGCACCGGCUAACUCUGUGCCAGCAGCCGCGGUAAUACAGAGGGUGCGAGCGUUAAUCGGAUUUACUGGGCGUAAAGCGUGCGUAGGCGGCCAAUUAAGUCAAAUGUGAAAUCCCCGAGCUUAACUUGGGAAUUGCAUUCGAUACUGGUUGGCUAGAGUAUGGGAGAGGAUG
This 667-nucleotide ribosomal RNA is filed under the name Acinetobacter radioresistens. RNAcentral's name for it is "bacterial SSU rRNA". It matches the Rfam family "Bacterial small subunit ribosomal RNA", at positions 1 to 660 of the family's 1533-position model. Lineage: Bacteria; Pseudomonadati; Pseudomonadota; Gammaproteobacteria; Moraxellales; Moraxellaceae. The record is from RNAcentral.